GGGGAAAGCAGACUCACCAGACAAGUUUUGAAUGCUCAUGAGAAAGAACAGAUUUUCCUUCAAGAAGGUUUUGGAAGAAAAUCCUUGAAAUCAAUCUGUAUCAAGUUGAUACAUGCAAAGAGCUGGAAAUAGAAGAGGCACUGAUCUCCCUGCUCCUGCUUGCUGUGCUCCAGUAAACGACAGCUGAAGGUGAUUUUGGCUGCCCACAUCUGUGCUACCUGUCUUGCUGCACUUGUAGAGAUCAGCCAGAAAAUAAAUGUUCUGGCCUGUAAGACACACACUGGUACAAAAAAGUAGUCUGUCAUCUGAGAACAAGAAGCCAGA
Long non-coding RNA from Zonotrichia leucophrys gambelii, 324 nucleotides. RefSeq lists it as uncharacterized. The transcript has 3 exons. Lineage: Eukaryota; Metazoa; Chordata; Aves; Passeriformes; Passerellidae. The record is from RefSeq and is a predicted model, not a curated record.